RNAcentral lists this ribosomal RNA (252 nucleotides) under uncultured bacterium. Its description in RNAcentral is "partial 16S ribosomal RNA". It matches the Rfam family "Bacterial small subunit ribosomal RNA", at positions 524 to 776 of the family's 1533-position model. The record is from RNAcentral.
UACGUAGGUCCCGAGCGUUGUCCGGAUUUAUUGGGCGUAAAGCGAGCGCAGGUGGUUUAUUAAGUCUGGUGUAAAAGGCAGUGGCUCAACCAUUGUAUGCAUUGGAGACUGGUAGACUUGAGUGCAGGAGAGGAGAGUGGAAUUCCAUGUGUAGCGGUGAAAUGCGUAGGUAUAUGGAGGAACACCGGUGGCGAAAGCGGCUCUCUGGCCUGUAACUGACACUGAGGCUCGAAAGCGUGGGGAGCAAACAGG